CGCGGGAUGGAGCAGGCAGGUAGCUCGUUGGGGUCAUAUCCCAAAGGUCGUUGGUUCAAAUCCAACUCCCGCUA
Molecule: transfer RNA, 74 nt
Filed under: Caudoviricetes sp.
Lineage: Duplodnaviria; Heunggongvirae; Uroviricota; Caudoviricetes
Description: tRNA-Met
Rfam family: tRNA
About the family: Transfer RNA (tRNA) molecules are approximately 80 nucleotides in length. Their secondary structure includes four short double-helical elements and three loops (D, anti-codon, and T loops).
Source: RNAcentral